Molecule: long non-coding RNA, 1231 nt
Filed under: Triticum aestivum (bread wheat)
Lineage: Eukaryota; Viridiplantae; Streptophyta; Magnoliopsida; Poales; Poaceae
Description: long non-coding RNA (TAES_LNC022309)
Source: RNAcentral
CAGAAAUUCAAGUAUGCGAUUCUGCUAGCCAAUUUAUCGAUUUGCUUCUUCCAUUAAACAUUUGACCAGCAAAUGAAUCACUCAAAUCAGCAUCCUAAUUCACUGUUGGCUGAUCAAAACAAAUUCCUUCACUUGUAUUUGGCAGUCCUAGGAACAUAAAGAAAAAAGAUCACAAUACUGAUUUAACACUGGAAACUGUAUGUCUCUAUUCAACAUAGGAGACUAUUAAGAUAGUACCCUGAAAACUGUUAAAGCUCAUAUAUAGGAAAUAAGUAAUUUUCUCAUAGCCCAAAACUGAAAAAUAUUGAAAAAUAGGUUGCAAUCAUGCACCUUAAUACAUCCAAGCAAUAGUAAUAAAAAUUCAGUUUCAUUCUGGCUUUUCAUGGAUAUACGGUUUUCAUCAGAAACUAUAUAAGGACCAUCGAAUCAUGGAAUUUCAUCCAAGCUUAAAAUCCUACAAAGAGAAAACUUGCUCGAAGCAAAUUUGAACCCCAGCCCAACUCAUGGUUGACUUGCAGUCAAAGAAAUUUGAAUGUCGAACCAUUGAAAGUAAGCACUUGAAUGUCGAGCCUCAACAAUCAAACAAGGUCUGUCUACUUGGUCUGGUGUUGGGACUACUCAGCAAUUCACAUAUAAAAUACAAAUUACUGGAGAGUACCCUCUACAGCUGAGUUAGGUAUUGUUUGUACGUCAUAAAGAGGACCUACUAAGACAACUUUUAGCUAUACAAGGCACUCUAAUAUGACCUACUGAGACAUAUUUGUUGGCUAAACCUUUUCAAGACGAAAUGCAACAGAGUAAUAGAGACCUCAGCUUAAUUUUCUGUGUUUUUGCCAAGAAGAAAGUUCCCUUCCUUUCAGUAUAGCAACUACAACUUCCAUGCCAAACAAUUUCAAACAAAGAUGAUGCAGUUUGCAAUACUCUUUAGCUUAUGGUUAUUAACUUGAUCCAGAAUUAAACCAUACACCAUGUUAUGAAAAACCUACACCUACAGGAUCAAAAACAGUAGCAUAAUAUUCAUCACAACUAUUGGCCAAUGAUUUCCCAACUAUGGCCUCACCACAAAAAUCAUAGAGAAUAUUAAUCAGGGGCUCAGGGCAUAACCAGGAACAUCAUAAUAAACCAUGGCAUACACAAAAUAGGGAGCCUAAACCCUACCAUGUUAUCCACAAACAAACCAAGUCAUGAACCAAAGAUCACAGCCCAGCACAAUAGUAGCAAGAUAGAAAGC